Molecule: ribosomal RNA, 2242 nt
Filed under: Candidatus Magasanikiibacteriota bacterium
Lineage: Bacteria; Candidatus Magasanikiibacteriota
Description: Candidatus Magasanikbacteria bacterium partial 23S ribosomal RNA
Rfam family: Bacterial large subunit ribosomal RNA
Source: RNAcentral
AGUAUACAAUAUAAGAGCAUACGAUGAAUGCCUUGACACCAAAAGACGAUGAAGGACGUUGCAGGGUGCGAUAAGUUUCGGCGAGGUCCCAAGCAACCUUUGACCCGAAAAUUUCCGAAUGGGGGAACCCAACUUGAGUAAUGUCGAGUUACCAUAUACUGAAUACAUAGGUAUAUGGGGAAGACCUGGCGAAGUGAAACAUCUCAGUAGCCAGAGGAAAAGAAAGAAGUAAAAGCUAUUGAUUUUCAUUCACAGAUUCUACCUUCGGGUCUGAUCUGUGUAUUGAAGAUCUAUAGUUCGAUUCCGUUAGUAGUGGCGAGCGAACGCGGAACAGCCUAAACCUAUAUUAUGUUGAAUAAUGGAUUCAUUGGUCUUCGGACUUAUUUUGACGUUAUUCUUAAAGGACAGACCGUUGUAAUAUAGGUGUUGUAGGACAGAGAUCUCGGUGAUCUGUAGAACCGGAUUUAUAGUUUAUAUAUAGCCGAAAACUCCUGGAAAGGAGUAUCAUAGAGGGUGAUAAUCCCGUAGGCGAAAUAUAUAGACUUAUAAAUAUCUUUGUUCCUGAGUAGGGCGGAACACGUGAAAUUCCGUUUGAAUCUGCCGUGACUAUGCGGUAAGGCUAAAUACUUUUGGUGAUCGAUAGUGAACUAGUACCGUGAGGGAAAGGUGAAAAGUAGCCCGGAGAGGGCGGUGAAAUAGUACCUGAAAUCGUAUGUUUACAAUGAGCUGGAAUCUUAAGUCACCUUCGGGUGACGGGAUGACAGUGUUCCUAUUGAAGAAUGAGCCUGUGAGUAUGCUGUCAGUUGCAAGCUUAAGGACCUAUGGUCCGAAGGCGUAGCGAAAGCGAGUCUUAACCGGCGAUUAAGUAGCUGGCACAUAACCCGAAACUAGGUGAGCAAUCCAUGGCCAGGUUGAACUCUGUCGAAAGACAGAGGGAGGACCGAACCCACGCACCGUGCAACAUGCGGGGAUGAGCUGUGGAUAGCGGAGAAAUUCCAAUCGAACCUAGUAAUAGCUGGUUCUCCUCGAAAUAGCUUUAGGGCUAGCUGUAUGCGUUCCCUCUGGGGGUAGAGCACUGGAUGAGGUCGGGGUCCUUCGGGAUACCCACCUCAAUCAAACUCCGAAUACCAGAGAUUAAAAGCAUGCAAGUCAGACUAUGGGGGCUAAGCUUCAUAGUCAAAAGGGAAACAGCCCAGAUCGCAAACUAAGGUCCCUAAAUUAUCACUAAGUGUAAAAGGAGGUGUUAACUCUUAUACAACCAGGAGGUUGGCUUAGAAGCAGCCAUCCUUUAAAGAUAGCGUAACAGCUCACUGGUCAAGAGUUUUCGCGCCUAAAAUGUACCGGGGCUAAGUGAUAUACCGAAGUUGCGAAUUCUAUAUUUUUUUAAUAUAGAGUGGUAGAGGAGCGUUCCAAACUGCAGUGAAGUCGGAUCCGUGAGGGCCGGUGGAGCGUUUGGAAGUGAGAAUGCAGGCACAAGUAGCAAAAAUGGGUGUGAAAGACAUCCACGCCGAAAACCCAAGGUUUCCAGGGCAACGAGAAUCGUCCCUGGGUUAGUCGAUCCUAAGGCCAGGCCGAAAGGCGUAACCGAUGGAAGAGCAGGUUAAUAUUCCUGCACUUGGUAUAGUUUGUAUAUAUAUGUAUGUUUCAAUGGUGUGAGCGUUGUAUGGCUACACGUUUCGCAAGAUGGAGACCAACUCUUCGGAGGAGGUCAACUCGCGUUUGAGAAGCAUCUAGAAGAGUAUAUAUGCGCUAGGCUAUAUCAAAUCGUACCGCAAACCGACACAGGUGGGUAGGUCGAGAAGACCAAGGCGUACAAGAGAAACAUGGUUAAGGAACUCGGCAAAACAGCGGCCGUAACUUCGGGAUAAGGCCUGCCCCAGCAAUGGGGCCGCAGCUAAAGACUUCAUGCGACUGUUUACCAAAAACACAGCUCCCUGCAAAAGCGUAAGCUGAAGUAUAGGGGGCGAUGCCUGGCCAGUGUCAGAACGUUAAGGAAACGGGUUAUCUACUUCGGUAGAGAAGCUUGCGACUGAAGCGCUGAUGAACGCCGGCGGUAACUAUAACCGUCCUAAGGUAGCGAAAUUCCUUGUCGGGUGAGUUCCGACCCGCACGAAUGGCACAACGAUGUGCAGACUGUCUUAACCAUGUACUCGGCGAAAAUACAAGAGUCGUGAAGAUGCGACUUACCCGCAGCUAGACGAAAAGACCCCAUGAAGCUUUACUACAGUUUGACAUUGGUAUA